GAUGAACGCUGGCGGCGUGCCUAAUACAUGCAAGUCGAGCGAACAGAUAAGGAGCUUGCUCCUUUGACGUUAGCGGCGGACGGGUGAGUAACACGUGGGUAACCUACCUAUAAGACUGGGAUAACUUCUGGAAACCGGAGCUAAUACCGGAUAACAUUUGGAACCGCAUGGUUCUAAAGUGAAAGAUGGUUUUGCUAUCACUUAUAGAUGGACCCGCGCCGUAUUAGCUAGUUGGUAAGGUAACGGCUUACCAAGGCGACGAUACGUAGCCGACCUGAGAGGGUGAUCGGCCACACUGGCACUGAGACACGGUCCAGAGUCCUACGGGAGGCAGCAGUAGGGAAUCUUCCGCAAUAGGCGAAAGCCUGACGGAGCAACGCCGCGUGAGUGAUGAAGGGUUUCGGCUCGUAAAACUCUGUUAUUAGGGAAGAACAAAUGUGUAAGUAACUGUGCACGUCUUGACGGUACCUAAUCAGAAAGCCACGGCUAACUACGUG
Molecule: ribosomal RNA, 497 nt
Filed under: uncultured bacterium
Lineage: Bacteria
Description: partial 16S ribosomal RNA
Rfam family: Bacterial small subunit ribosomal RNA
Source: RNAcentral